GCAGCCGCGGUAAUACGUAGGGGGCAAGCGUUAUCCGGAUUUACUGGGUGUAAAGGGAGCGUAGACGGCAUAGUAAGUCUGAUGUGAAAGCCCGGGGCUCAACCCCGGGACUGCAUUGGAAACUACUAAGCUAGAGUGCAGGAGAGGUAAGUGGAAUUCCUAGUGUAGCGGUGAAAUGCGUAGAUUUUAGGAGGAACACCAGUGGCGAAGGCGACUUACUGGACUGUAACUGACGUUGAGGCUCGAAAGCGUGGGGAGCAAACAGGAUUAGAUACCCUGGUAGUCCACCCCGUAAACGAUGAAAACUAGGUGUCGGGGAGUACUGCUCUUCGGUGCCCCCGCUAACGCAAUAAGUAUUCCACCUGGGGAGUAC
Molecule: ribosomal RNA, 373 nt
Filed under: uncultured bacterium
Lineage: Bacteria
Description: bacterial SSU rRNA
Rfam family: Bacterial small subunit ribosomal RNA
Source: RNAcentral